GCCAGGUGUGGUGAACCACACCUUUAGUCCCAGGUACUGGGGAGGCUGAGGCAGGAGAAUCACUUGAACCCAGGAUUUUGAGAUCAGUCUGAGCAAUAUAAUGAGAACCUGUUUCAA
RNAcentral lists this small RNA (117 nucleotides) under Marmota monax (woodchuck). Lineage: Eukaryota; Metazoa; Chordata; Mammalia; Rodentia; Sciuridae. The record is from RNAcentral.